This is a long non-coding RNA of Zea mays, 219 nucleotides long. RefSeq lists it as uncharacterized. The transcript has 3 exons. Lineage: Eukaryota; Viridiplantae; Streptophyta; Magnoliopsida; Poales; Poaceae. The record is from RefSeq and is a predicted model, not a curated record.
CUCCCCUCGCCACCUUCAAACUACUUAUCUGGUCUCAAGGUUCUUCAUGGCCUUGACUCUCAAAGAUCAGAGUAUUCUUGUCAAUGGGGAUAUCAAUGAAGGCUUGCUUCGCCUUGUCACAAGCUCCAUCGUUUAAGGAAAGAAUAUGCAUACACAUUUGAAAGCACAAGCUUAUCUUAUCAGUGUUCUGAGGUUACCAGGAUCUUGCAAGGUAGGGCA